GCCUGCCUGGCUCAGUUGGUGGAGUAUGAGACUCUUGAUCUUUGGGUUGUGAGUUUAAGCCCCAUGUCGGGUG
Molecule: transfer RNA, 73 nt
Filed under: Mustela putorius furo (domestic ferret)
Lineage: Eukaryota; Metazoa; Chordata; Mammalia; Carnivora; Mustelidae
Rfam family: tRNA
About the family: Transfer RNA (tRNA) molecules are approximately 80 nucleotides in length. Their secondary structure includes four short double-helical elements and three loops (D, anti-codon, and T loops).
Source: Rfam by way of RNAcentral